Molecule: ribosomal RNA, 497 nt
Filed under: uncultured bacterium
Lineage: Bacteria
Description: partial 16S ribosomal RNA
Rfam family: Bacterial small subunit ribosomal RNA
Source: RNAcentral
GAUGAACGCUGGCGGCGUGCCUAAUACAUGCAAGUCGAGCGAACGGACGAGAAGCUUGCUGCUCUGAUGUUAGCGGCGGACGGGUGAGUAACACGUGGAUAACCUACCUAUAAGACUGGGAUAACUUCUGGAAACCGUAGCUAAUACCGGAUAAUAUUUUGAACCGCAUGGUUCAAAAGUGAAAGACGGUCUUGCUGUCACUUAUAGAUGGAUCCGCGCUGCAUUAGAUAGUUGGGAAGGUAACGGCUUACCAGGGCAACGAUGCAUAGCCGACCUGAGAGGGUGAUCGGCCACACUGGAACUGAGACACGGUCCAGACUCCUACGGGAGGCAGCAGUAGGGAAUCUUGCGCAAUGGGCGAAAGCCUGACGGCGCAACGCCGCGUGAGUGAUGAAGGUCUUCGGAUCGUAAAACUCUGUUAUUAGGGAAGAACAUAUGUGUAAGUAACUGUGCACAUCUUGACGGUACCUAAUCAGAAAGCCACGGCUAACUACGUG